ACGUAGGGGGCAAGCGUUGCUCGGAAUUACUGGGCGUAAAGGGUGUGUAGGCGGCUGAUUAAGUUAAGGAUGAAAUCCCGAGGCUCAACCUCGGAACUGUCCUUGAUACUGGACAGCUUGAGUCUAGUAAAGGAGGGUGGAAUUCCCGGUGUAGCGGUGAAAUGCGUAGAUAUGCGGAGGAACACCGAUGGCGAAGGCAGUCCUCUGGGCUAGUACUGACGCUCAUGCACGAAAGCGUGGGGAGCAAACAG
Molecule: ribosomal RNA, 251 nt
Filed under: uncultured prokaryote
Description: partial 16S rRNA
Rfam family: Bacterial small subunit ribosomal RNA
Source: RNAcentral